Molecule: long non-coding RNA, 1130 nt
Organism: Arachis duranensis
Lineage: Eukaryota; Viridiplantae; Streptophyta; Magnoliopsida; Fabales; Fabaceae
Exons: 4
Source: RefSeq, a predicted model, not a curated record
CCUUCUCACCCAACCCAGCAGCAGCUCACAUGGUUUCCUUCCUUCCUCUUUCCAUGAGAGUAAGAAAACAGAAGCAGAAAAUGGAUCAAAAAGGGAAGGGGAGGAGAUGCGAUCGGAAGGGGAGAUGGGUCACGAUGCUGCCGCCGUUCAAUUCACCACCAUGUCGUGCCGCCGUCACCAGCCUUGCUUGCCCUGCCGCUGUGAAGCUCGUCCCUGCUGAGUCGCCGCCGCCAGUGCUAGGGUAUGAUGCCGCCUGUCACCGUCGCGAGCUUCCUCGCCGUCGCCACUGAAGCCGCCAUUGCCGUCGCAGAGGAGAGAGAGCAGAGGAGAGAGACUGCGCAACUGUGAGGGAGGGGGACACGGGCCUGCAAUGCGAGGAGCGCGACCCGCUGCGCUGCCGUGGAUCCCUUGCCGUCGAGUUCGAAGGGAGCAGGGGAGAACGACGUUGGGUUUGAGAGAGACAGAGGUGGUAUGGCGCAAGGAAAGAGGCGAGCUGUUCGCGCCACCGUUGCUGAGCCAUAGUGCCGCCGCCAUUGGGUCUCUCACUGCUGUGCGUCGCCGCCCAAAGAGGAGAAAGAAGACCUGCGACUCCGGGAUGCACAGAGGGAAGAAAACGGUGCUGUUCUCCACUACCAUUGCCGAAGGCGGCGCCGCUGUGCCUCUGGUAGCCGGGAAACGGUGGUGGAUGUUGGUGCUGGGUUAGCGCCGCCACUGCUGCUGGCCGUUUUGAGUUGCUCCACCGUCUCUGCCGCCAGAGAAUAUAGCUUAGUCGCCAAAAAACCACUGCCAUCGCAGUUGUCGGGGUUAUUUGUCACCGCUGCCACUUGAGGUGACUGCUGGGGCUACCGCCAAGCCGGUUCAGAGGCCGUUGCUGUUUUGUUUUCAUAUUACAUACUAAUGUGUUAGGAAUUAGUAACCGAGCUUACAUGUACCGAGUGAGGCUGUUUCUGCUAUUUGGAAAGCAAGCGGAGGAUUCGGUUGUUGCAGAUUUCGGGCUGAGCGAAAAGGAGUCAGUUAACGAGUUUGGGAUGUGGUUUCAAUGUUUUGAGGAUAUGGGCGCAGAUGUUACGAAGAGUUUAUUUAGUUAUUGUUGUGAUGCUCUGAAUUGUCUUAGUUAUGAUUUAUUGUAC